RNAcentral lists this ribosomal RNA (1448 nucleotides) under Staphylococcus hyicus. RNAcentral describes it as "bacterial SSU rRNA". It matches the Rfam family "Bacterial small subunit ribosomal RNA". The record is from RNAcentral. Lineage: Bacteria; Bacillati; Bacillota; Bacilli; Caryophanales; Staphylococcaceae.
GGGUGCUAAUACAUGCAAGUCGAGCGAACAGAUGAGGAGCUUGCUCCUUUGACGUUAGCGGCGGACGGGUGAGUAACACGUGGGUAACCUACCUAUAAGACUGGAAUAACUCCGGGAAACCGGGGCUAAUGCCGGAUAACAUGUUGAACCGCAUGGUUCAACAGUGAAAGACGGUCUUGCUGUCACUUAUAGAUGGACCCGCGCCGUAUUAGCUAGUUGGUAAGGUAACGGCUUACCAAGGCGACGAUACGUAGCCGACCUGAGAGGGUGAUCGGCCACACUGGAACUGAGACACGGUCCAGACUCCUACGGGAGGCAGCAGUAGGGAAUCUUCCGCAAUGGGCGAAAGCCUGACGGAGCAACGCCGCGUGAGUGAUGAAGGUCUUCGGAUCGUAAAGCUCUGUUGUUAGGGAAGAACAUAUGUGUAAGUAACUGUGCACAUCUUGACGGUACCUAACCAGAAAGCCACGGCUAACUACGUGCCAGCAGCCGCGGUAAUACGUAGGUGGCAAGCGUUAUCCGGAAUUAUUGGGCGUAAAGCGCGCGUAGGCGGUUUUUUAAGUCUGAUGUGAAAGCCCACGGCUCAACCGUGGAGGGUCAUUGGAAACUGGAAAACUUGAGUGCAGAAGAGGAAAGUGGAAUUCCAUGUGUAGCGGUGAAAUGCGCAGAGAUAUGGAGGAACACCAGUGGCGAAGGCGGCUUUCUGGUCUGUAACUGACGCUGAGGUGCGAAAGCGUGGGGAUCAAACAGGAUUAGAUACCCUGGUAGUCCACGCCGUAAACGAUGAGUGCUAAGUGUUAGGGGGUUUCCGCCCCUUAGUGCUGCAGCUAACGCAUUAAGCACUCCGCCUGGGGAGUACGGUCGCAAGACUGAAACUCAAAGGAAUUGACGGGGACCCGCACAAGCGGUGGAGCAUGUGGUUUAAUUCGAAGCAACGCGAAGAACCUUACCAAAUCUUGACAUCUUUUGAUCGCUCUAGAGAUAGAGUUUUCCUCUUCGGAGGACAAAAUGACAGGUGGUGCAUGGUUGUCGUCAGCUCGUGUCGUGAGAUGUUGGGUUAAGUCCCGCAACGAGCGCAACCCUUAAGCUUAGUUGCCAUCAUUAAGUUGGGCACUCUAAGUUGACUGCCGGUGACAAACCGGAGGGAAGGUGGGGAUGACGUCAAAUCAUCAUGCCCCUUAUGAUUUGGGCUACACACGUGCUACAAUGGACAAUACAAAGGGCAGCAAAACCGCGAGGUCAAGCAAAUCCCAUAAAGUUGUUCUCAGUUCGGAUUGUAGUCUGCAACUCGACUACAUGAAGCUGGAAUCGCUAGUAAUCGUAGAUCAGCAUGCUACGGUGAAUACGUUCCCGGGUCUUGUACACACCGCCCGUCACACCACGAGAGUUUGUAACACCCGAAGCCGGUGGAGUAACCAUUUGGAGCUAGCCGUCGAAGGUGGACAAAA